AGUGAACGCUGGCGGUAGGCCUAACACAUGCAAGUCGAACGGCAGCACAGUAAGAGCUUGCUCUUACGGGUGGCGAGUGGCGGACGGGUGAGGAAUACAUCGGAAUCUACUUUUUCGUGGGGGUUAACGUAGGGAAACUUACGCUAAUACCGCAUACGACCUACGGGGGAAAGCAGGGGAUCUUCGGACCUUGCGCGGUUGAAUGAGCCGAUGUCGGAUUAGCUAGUUGGCGGGGUAAAGGCCCACCAAGGCGACGAUCCGUAGCUGGUCUGAGAGGAUGAUCAGCCACACUGGAACGGAGACACGGUCCAGACUCCUACGGGAGGCAGCAGUGGGGAAUAUUGGACAAUGGGCGCAAGCCUGAUCCAGCCAUACCGCGUGGGUGAAGAAGGCCUUCGGGUUGUAAAGCCCUUUUGUUGGGAAAGAAAAGCAGCAGGUUAAUACCCCGCUGUUCUGACGGUACCCAAAGAAUAAGCACCGGCUAACUACGUG
Molecule: ribosomal RNA, 492 nt
Filed under: uncultured bacterium
Lineage: Bacteria
Description: partial 16S ribosomal RNA
Rfam family: Bacterial small subunit ribosomal RNA
Source: RNAcentral